GCCACGUGAUGAGUUAAGUAGAUGCAGCAGCUCUCGGGCUGUGAUGACUCGCUAUCUAUCACCCAUAACUGAUGGCU
Molecule: small nucleolar RNA, 77 nt
Organism: Amphilophus citrinellus (Midas cichlid)
Lineage: Eukaryota; Metazoa; Chordata; Actinopteri; Cichliformes; Cichlidae
Gene: SNORD83
Rfam family: Small nucleolar RNA SNORD83
About the family: U83 (SNORD83) and U84 (SNORD84) are members of the C/D class of snoRNA which contain the C (UGAUGA) and D (CUGA) box motifs. They act as guanine methylation guides but lack complementarity to ribosomal RNA.
Source: Ensembl